RNAcentral lists this long non-coding RNA (538 nucleotides) under Setaria viridis. Its description in RNAcentral is "long non-coding RNA (SVIR_LNC004420)". Lineage: Eukaryota; Viridiplantae; Streptophyta; Magnoliopsida; Poales; Poaceae. The record is from RNAcentral.
AUUAUUACAAAAUCUAACACUCUUUUGAACCUGAUCCUUUUCUAAGAGUUUGAGUGUGAAGUGUGUACAACAAUGUUGUCCAUUUGAUCAUGGUCUAAAUCAGAGCAAAACCCUUUCAAAACUCGAGUUUAAGUUUAGCAAAAGCUUUAAAUAUGACUUCAUUUCAAGUCUUCUGCUAAGUGUUGGAAGCGGCGUCGAUGGGACAACACGAGCUCCCACACUGCCCAACACCCUCACGAGCACAUCUAUGCCCGUUGCAGUGCAUCCCAGCCGGCCAAUGGCCACCCCGCGCCCCUGCCGCCAUGCGGCCAGGGAACACCAGCACUCGUUUUGCCGCCAAUUGCCGUCCCGUGUCACCGUGGCAUCCUUAUCUUCACGCGGACCUUAUCCUCACCGCUUCCCACCUAUAAAGCUAGGCGCUGGCUUCCCCCACACCCCCACAGCUCCAUUACCAGUGACCCGAGCUCCAUCUUUUCGCAUCCUUCAACGGUGAAAUUCAUCGCCGUGAGCGAGCCUUGGGUUGAUUCCUCGCAACCAC